AGCGAACGCUGGCGGCAGGCUUAACACAUGCAAGUCGAGCGGGCAUAGCAUUAUGUCAGCGGCAGACGGGUGAGUAACGCGUGGGAACGUACCUUUUGGCUCGGAACAACUGAGGGAAACUUCAGCUAAUACCGGAUAAGCCCUUACGGGGAAAGAUUUAUCGCCGAAAGAUCGGCCCGCGUCUGAUUAGCUAGUUUGUGAGGUAAUGGCUCACCAAGGCGACGAUCAGUAGCUGGUCUGAGAGGAUGAUCAGCCACAUUGGGACUGAGACACGGCCCAAACUCCUACGGGAAGCAGCAGUGGGUAAUAUUGGACCAUGGGCGCUAUCCUGAUCCAUCCAUGCCGCGUGAGUGAUGAAGGCCCUAGGGUUGUAAAGCUCUUUUGUGCGGGAACAUAUUGACGUUACCGCAAGAAUAAGCCCCGGCUAACUUCGUG
Molecule: ribosomal RNA, 435 nt
Filed under: uncultured bacterium
Lineage: Bacteria
Description: partial 16S ribosomal RNA
Rfam family: Bacterial small subunit ribosomal RNA
Source: RNAcentral